This 90-nucleotide transfer RNA is filed under the name Dreissena polymorpha. It matches the Rfam family "tRNA". Rfam says of the family: Transfer RNA (tRNA) molecules are approximately 80 nucleotides in length. Their secondary structure includes four short double-helical elements and three loops (D, anti-codon, and T loops). Further hydrogen bonds mediate the characteristic L-shaped molecular structure. tRNAs have two regions of fundamental functional importance: the anti-codon, which is responsible for specific mRNA codon recognition, and the 3' end, to which the tRNAs corresponding amino acid is attached (by aminoacyl-tRNA synthetases). tRNAs cope with the degeneracy of the genetic code in two manners: having more than one tRNA (with a specific anti-codon) for a particular amino acid; and 'wobble' base-pairing, i.e. permitting non-standard base-pairing at the 3rd anti-codon position. The record is from Rfam by way of RNAcentral. Lineage: Eukaryota; Metazoa; Mollusca; Bivalvia; Myida; Dreissenidae.
CCCGGAAUAGCUCAGUUGUAAAAGCGUUAGACUGAAGUUGUUUACGCAACAAUAAUCUAAAGGCCCCCGGUUCAACCCCAGGUUCCGGCA